This is an RNA transcript of Vicia villosa (hairy vetch), 1662 nucleotides long. RefSeq lists it as uncharacterized. The record is from RefSeq and is a predicted model, not a curated record. NCBI's taxonomy places the organism in Eukaryota, Viridiplantae, Streptophyta, Magnoliopsida, Fabales, Fabaceae. The transcript is spliced from 5 exons.
UGGCUCUCGAGACUAUUAAUAAACUGGAAGCUGUUAUAUUCUCAUUGAAAGAGAGAACUAUAGAACAAGUCACAGGAAAAUCACCCGUUAGAACUUCAUGGUCAUUUGUGAAGGGCCCUGUGUCUGAAAUUGAUAAAAUAGAGUUAUUAUUGGACCGUGCCGAAACACUAUUACAGUUGCUUAAAAUCAGAUACCCCAACCUUCCUCAAACAUUUCUAGAUGCUGCUAAAGUACAAUAUGGCAAGAGCAAGUUAUGAUGAGUGUGGUCCAUAUCCAUGAAGUUUAGAAGUAAUAAAUCCAUUCCCUUAGAAUGAUGGACCAGUCAACAUUUGGCAAGGCCGAAAAGAUAAGUUCAUUAUACAUCUCAUAGAAAGUUCCCUUGAUUUGUAAUCACAUGCUUCCUGUUAGGUUGUCAUAUAUUUAUCUUGAAAAAUAAUCCAUGCAAGUCCACAGUUACAGCACUUAUGCUUUCAUAAGGUAUAUGAUAUGAUAUCAUGUAGUGUCUAUUGAAAACUAAAUUGUCUACAUACUGUCUUGUAUUUGUUGAUAUGUUAUAGCUAGUAUAAACUGACUGUAAAUCCCUGCAGUCAAGAAAUUGUAAUACGUUUUGAUGAAGUUGCAUACACAUUAAAUUAGGACAAAUUAAAUCUAUCAUGCAUCAAUAAUAUAGAUUCGGUACUAUGCAUAAGAAUUAAAUUAAAUAUAAAGAUAACCUAUUAACUUUUAUUAUAGACAUUAUUAAUGCUAAAGUACUCGUGUUAUUGAGGCACUUUAUUUGUUUUGUUUUGUGUUGGGGCAAUUUGAUCCAUGUGUUGAACAAGUUGCAAUCUGAAUUGAUGUCUUUGAUGGUAAGAACUAAGAACCUUAAAUCUACUAUCAUAUCUACUAUCACAUGCCCUUCACUCUCUCUACUCAUUUUCUUUACAUUAUUGGUGUUGGAGUGUCCGUGUCGGAGUCUGCGCUUCAUAGGCCGGCUCUCAACUUCCCAAAAUCUUUACAUGCUUUUAAGUUUUUCUUCAAAUUUGGUUUAUUAUUUUAUGAUGCACAUAAUUUCUUUUUCAAUUUUGUAUCUGAGGAGUAAAGGGAAAAUAUAGUUACAAUUUAUCACACAACUGAAACAAGAAAUUGAAAUAUUUGACAUUUUUAAUUACACAGUUCUAACAACCUAGUUUCUAUUUCAGUAUCCAGACAAUCCUACAAGACAACAGAAGAAGGAUGUAAAAGAACUGCUGCAUACCUUAUGGAAAACCAUGCUGAUAUUGGUCAGGCCUUUUGGUCAUCUGUUCCGAAGAACAAUGAAGCUCAUCUUGCUUUGGGGACUACCCUGUUUCAUAGCGGAAUGUGCAUACAAGAUAUGAUCAGCUUUGAAGAUGUAUUGAAGGAGUUUACUUCUAAGAAAUGCGGUAAACUUGGGAAAUUGCUUAAGGAAAGUGGUAAUCAUGGGGUUCAGAUGAAAAACAAAGAUUCUAGAGCACCGAAGCUAACCGUCAAGCAUGGCGUAAAAUUAUAUAUGAAGAAAGUGUUAUGACUUAGUUAAAAUAUAAUUUUUAUGUGUAUGAUUUUAUAAUACUUGAAAUAUUAUGACUGUCCAUGAUUUUGUAUACUUUUUUGGUUAAUAUUAAAAAUAUUUUGACUUAGUUAAAAUAUGAUUUUUAUGCGUAU